RNAcentral lists this long non-coding RNA (1266 nucleotides) under Equus caballus (horse). RNAcentral's name for it is "lncRNA (ENSECAG00000037720.2)". Lineage: Eukaryota; Metazoa; Chordata; Mammalia; Perissodactyla; Equidae. The record is from RNAcentral.
CGAGCCGGAACGACAGACCCCACAAGUGGCGGGCGGGAACAGCCUCUGCGGGACUCCGUCCUGGCUGGCAUGACUCAGGGCCGAGCUCUCAGCCGCCUCCUGGGCCCAGAAGGAUGGGUGACCAUCUGGCUCAGGAAGCGAGUGUCUCCGCGUCUCUUCUGGGAGUGGGGGAUACAGGGCGACGCCUUCUCUGCUUCCGGGUGCGAGGCCCACAGAGGGGGCGGCCACAGGCAGAACCACCACUUCCCACAGGCAGGGAUGAAGCGGUUUCUGAGCAGACCCAAGGGGUCAGCACAGGCGCCCCCACAGUCCUGGAGGGGCUGCAGCCGUUCUCUCUCACGGGCAGGGUGAGAGUCCCUCCCGGGGGCCUCCACACGACACUCACCCCAGGGAGGACACGGCAGACCCGUCCCCCGAGAGCAGAGCCCUGCUCAGCCGGCUGUGCCUCCAGCUGGACACUCUCAGUGAGCCACGUGGAUGGUCACCGGGCAUUGUCUGGUGCUGGACACUGUGUCGUGCCCUCUACAUGGCUAGGAACUAAUUGCUGCACUCAUCCUGUGAUCACCCAGCUCUAGACAACAGACCUGCCACCCUGCUGUGUCCACUGAGACAGCGCCCUACAACUUGCUGUGUCCAUCCAUUGCUGUGCUGACAGAGCAGUCUCGUGACUGCUGUAAAGGGGACAUUUCCUUCAUAUGUGAAACAUGCUCUUUGAGGGUAUAUAACCACUCUGUACACCCCACUUCUUGGGUACUCAUCCUUCCUUGGGGAUGGAAGACCUCGGGCUACAUGGUCCUCAUAUUUGUCUCAGAAUAAACUCACCUCAAUUUUCAUUUAUAGAUUGGUUACAGAUUACUUUCGUCAACACCUGGGAACUCUGUUCAGGGCCACUGGGGCACUGAGAGGAGGGUUGUCUCCCAGCAGAGGCCCUGGGAGAUGAGUUGGAAGAGAGCGAGCCUUCUCAUGCCCAGGGUCAUAGCUGAGGUCAGGUCCCCAGUGGACAUUCCAUUGCCCCAUCUCACCUGCAGGAACCCCCUGAAGUUUGCUCUGGGGAACCCCAUCCCGAGAGAUGUUAAUAGGGGUCGGAGUGGGGCGGGGAGGAGAGGGGUGCCACGGGAAACGAGUUUGGAGACCAGGCUGCCUCUCAAGGAAAACUCCUGCCUGAGAGGGUUCUCCUCGUCCAGAGCUGGAGUCAGGCCAAGGACGGGAGGCGGCAGCGUCCACAGGGUGGGUCUCCGGGAGCCAUAACCAGGCUCACAGGAUGAG